Molecule: ribosomal RNA, 582 nt
Filed under: Dothideomycetes sp.
Lineage: Eukaryota; Fungi; Ascomycota; Dothideomycetes
Description: eukaryotic LSU rRNA
Rfam family: 5.8S ribosomal RNA (bases 210-363)
Source: RNAcentral
UUUCCGUAGGUGAACCUGCGGAAGGAUCAUUAAAGAGAAAGGGUUAUUCGUAGCCCGACCUCCAACCCUUUGUUGUUAUAACUACCUCGUUGCUUUGGCGGGACCGCUCGGUCCCGAGCUGCCGGUCUUAGGCCCGGCAAGCGCCCGCCAGAGUCUACUCAAACUCUUGUUUUAACCGGUCGUCUGAGUAAAAAUUUUAAUUAAAUUAAAACUUUCAACAACGGAUCUCUUGGUUCUCGCAUCGAUGAAGAACGCAGCGAAAUGCGAUAAGUAAUGUGAAUUGCAGAAUUCAGUGAAUCAUCGAAUCUUUGAACGCACAUUGCGCUCCCUGGUAUUCCGGGGAGCAUGCCUGUUCGAGCGUCAUUACACCACUCAAGCACUGCUUGGUAUUAGGCCAUCGUCCCCCGAAAGGUGGGCGUGCCUCAAACACCUCGGCGGAGCCUCACCGGCUUUGGGCGUAGUAGAAUUUCUCAACGUCUUGCAAGUACCGGUUUGACUCCUCGCCGUAAAACCACCAAUUUUUACAGGUUGACCUCGGAUCAGGUAGGGAUACCCGCUGAACUUAAGCAUAUCAAUAAGCGG